ACGUAGGAGGCAAACGUUAUCCGGAUUUACUGGGCGUAAAGCGCGUGUAGGUGGCUUGGUAAGUAGGGCGUGAAAGCUCCUGGCUCAACUGGGAGAGGUCGUUCUAAACUGCCGGACUAGAGGAUGGUAGAGGGAGGUGGAAUUCCGGGUGUAGCGGUGCAAUGCUCAUAUAUCCGUACGAACACCAGUUGCGAAAGCAGCCUCCUGGACCACUCCUGACCCUCAGACGCGAAAGCUAGCGUAUCAAACGG
This 251-nucleotide ribosomal RNA is filed under the name uncultured prokaryote. RNAcentral's name for it is "partial 16S rRNA". It matches the Rfam family "Bacterial small subunit ribosomal RNA", at positions 525 to 775 of the family's 1533-position model. The record is from RNAcentral.